RNAcentral lists this ribosomal RNA (757 nucleotides) under uncultured archaeon. RNAcentral's name for it is "bacterial SSU rRNA". It matches the Rfam family "Archaeal small subunit ribosomal RNA", at positions 102 to 859 of the family's 1478-position model. The record is from RNAcentral.
GGAUAACCUACCCUUAGGACCGGGAUAACCCUGGGAAACUGGGGAUAAUACUGGAUAGGCAAUUUUUCCUGUAAUGGUUUUUUGUUUAAAUGUUUUUUCGCCUAAGGAUGGGUCUGCGGCCGAUUAGGUAGUUGGUUAGGUAAUGGCUUACCAAGCCGUUGAUCGGUACGGGUUGUGAGAGCAAGAGCCCGGAGAUGGAACCUGAGACAAGGUUCCAGGCCCUACGGGGCGCAGCAGGCGCGAAACCUCCGCAAUGUGAGAAAUCGCGACGGGGGGAUCCCAAGUGCCAUUCUUAACGGGAUGGCUUUUCAUUAGUGUAAAGAGCUUUUGGAAUAAGGGCUGGGCAAGACCGGUGCCAGCCGCCGCGGUAACACCGGCAGCUCUAGUGGUAGCAGUUUUUAUUGGGCCUAAAGCGUCCGUAGCCGGUUUAAUAAGUCUCUGGUGAAAUCCUGUAGCUUAACUGUGGGAAUUGCUGGAGAUACUAUUAGACUUGAGAUCGGGAGAGGUUAGAGGUACUCCCAGGGUAGAGGUGAAAUUCUGUAAUCCUGGGAGGACCGCCUGUUGCGAAGGCGUCUAACUGGAACGAUUCUGACGGUGAGGGACGAAAGUUAGGGGCGCGAACCGGAUUAGAUACCCGGGUAGUCCUAACUGUAAACGAUGCGGACUUGGUGUUGGGGUGGCUUUGAGCUGCUCCAGUGCCGAAGGGAAGCUGUUAAGUCCGCCGCCUGGGAGGUACGGUCGCAAGACUGAAACUUAA